Long non-coding RNA from Perca fluviatilis (European perch), 2189 nucleotides. RefSeq lists it as uncharacterized. The transcript has 9 exons. Lineage: Eukaryota; Metazoa; Chordata; Actinopteri; Perciformes; Percidae. The record is from RefSeq and is a predicted model, not a curated record.
UUAUGUUCUCAUUAAUGUUGUUGAUUGUAGGUAGAUUAGUGCAUUUAAAUUUUCAAUAACAAACACUUUCUCCUGUAUAAAAUUGUACAUACUCCCAUAUAGGAGGGUCAGGCCAGCGGAAAUUAAGUGUUCUGGCACCUGAGGCAGAAGGUUAUACAGGAGCCUACCUUUCCAAAGCUUUGGGUGGAAAGGCCUGCCUGUACAUCAUGCCCAUCCAGGAUACUUUGGACACCUCCCCCUUGCCAUACUCAUCCAAGGAGUUUGAAAAGAUGCCAAAAGCCCGAUGUGCCACUUGUCAUCUGAGCAUGCCAGUUCAGUUGCUGGCUUUACAUGCCCAGGAGUGUGAGCUGGGUAGCUGUUCAGACAGCAGAUAUUUUGAACCGAAUGAGGAACCAGAUGUGAUGACAGAUUUUGAGGAGUCGCCAGCUUUGAGCAAUCCUGGGAAAACAUCUCCAGGUGUGCUACCAUGUCCAACCGUCUCUCAGAAGAUGGACGUAAAGUCUGGCCAAAGCCAUCCAUACGCUUGAGGGACGAGUUGACACUAGAGCAGUUUUCAACAUUUCUGUCACGAGAGAGGACAUGUUUACCAGGGGCAUGGGGCAGUGGAGGCGUCAAAAGAAGUCUUCUCCAAAAAAUCCACUUAGAGUGUCCUUCAUUGGCGAAUCAGGAAUUGACAAUGGGGCUCUCCGGAAAGAAUUCUUAACAGAAAUGAUGGCAGGUGUUGAAGCCAACUUAUUUCAGGGAGGGAGUACAGGGAAAACCCCCAAUCACUCAAUCACUGACCAUAAGGAGAAUUUCAAGACGGCUGGACAGAUUAUUGCAGUGAGCAUUACACAAGGUGGUCCUCCACCUAACUUUUUCCGGGAGUGGUGCUUUGGCUACAUCUCCACUGGGGAGAUUGACAAAGAGAUGAUUUCCAAAGAUGAUGUGACUGAUCCAGAGCUCAGACAACUUAUGGAAGAGGUUGAGAUGGCUGAACCUGAAGCUCUGAUUAACCUCCUUGACAGAAUAUUAGAAUGCGGGUACAGUGGUCCUAUAACACAGGAGAGGAAGGAAGAAAUCAUAAAAGGGCCAUUAUCUUGCACUCAUCUGUCAUAUCCUACCGAUGCUGCAGCAGAUUUGUUCAGGCAUGAAGCUAUAUGACUUGUGUGAGAUGAUUGGACAGCAACCGCACACAUUUCGGCCGUUGUUUGUUCCUGGGCUUUUGGAAAAGCGGGACGCUGAAUUUCUGAUGGGAUCCAUGUCUCCAACCUUCAGUGAGCUGGGCUCACUGAAACGCCAGAGGGAAUCAAAGCGAAACUCCUGGUAGACUGCUGCAAAUUAGUGCCCCAAAUCAUCACUGACUGUGGAAUCUGUACACUGAACUUCAAGCAUCUUGGAUUCUGUGCCUCUCCACUCGUCCUCCAGACUCUGGGACCUUGAUUUCCAAAUGAAAUGCAAAAUGUACUUUCAUCUGAAAAGAGGACUUUGGACCACUUAGCAACGGUCCGGUUCUUUUUCUCCUUAGCCCAGGUAAGGUGCUUGAUGUUGUCUUUGGUUCAGGAGUGGCUUGACAAUAGGAAUGCAACACUUGUAGCUCAUUUCCUGGACCCCUCUGUGCCUGGUGGCUCUUGAUGCACUGACUCCAGACUCAGUCCACUCCUUGUAAAGCUCCCCAAGUUCUUGAAUCUGCUUUUUUUGACAAUCCUCUUAAGGCUGCAGUCGUCUCUGUUGCUUGUGCACCUUUUCCUUCCACACUUUAACCUUCCAGUCAACUUACUAUGAAUAUGCUUUGAUACAGCACUCUGAACAGCCAGCCCUUUCAGCAAUGACCUUAUGUGGAUUCUGUGUCAAUGACUGUCUUCUGGACAACUGUCAAGUCAGAAGUCUUCCCCAUGAUUGUGGUUUUGUGUACUGAACCAGAGAUUAAAGGCUCUUCCCUGGUUGAUAUUUCUGUAUUAUACAUUCUUUAUUCUAAUAUUCUGAGAUAUAGAGUUUUGAUUUCCAUGAGCUGUAAUCAUUAGCAGAACUAUUCAGAUAAUUUACUUAAGUAAAAGUAAUAUCACACUGUACAAUUAAAAAACAUGAAUGCAAGUAUUGAGUAUGAAGUAGAAACAGAUGUGUAAAAACUCAUUGUACAGUAAAAUGUUCCCUGUCAGUCACUAGUCAAGUUUCCAUCCACUUGUCAAUCAAAUUAUCUGAAGUUCGGU